UGCAGGGCUGAGGGAGAACCGCCGGCACCCCGCGGCCUAUUUGGUGCUGGGAGCCCGAGCCCUGACCGGGGCCUUCCGAGCCUGGACCCGCCGAGAGGUCCUGGCAGAGCACGAGCAGGAGAUCCCGAGACCGUCCGGCCGGGGCAGCUGAUCAAGGAACUGGGCAGGGAGAUCCGGCUGGCAGAGGAGCUGUUCCAGCAGAGCACGGGGAUGUCGGGGACCCCCUUUGGGCCCCCCUGGGGGUCCCAGGCCCCAAAAAGGGGGGCCCCGAAAGCCGCCCCCCAACUCCCGCACCCACGACGAUGGGGGGACCCUGAACCCCCCUGCAGCACCCCAGGAGGAGGAU
This is a long non-coding RNA of Melospiza melodia melodia, 346 nucleotides long. RefSeq lists it as uncharacterized. The record is from RefSeq and is a predicted model, not a curated record. NCBI's taxonomy places the organism in Eukaryota, Metazoa, Chordata, Aves, Passeriformes, Passerellidae. The transcript has 3 exons.